UAUAUGUAUGUAUAUCCCUCGUGGUUGGGCCCAUGCCAAAUCCCCCAAAGGCAAACGAAUUCCGGGGAGAGUUGUUCCAUGGCCAACCGCAUAACAGGAAGCGGGAUCGCGGGUUCCUAGCUCCUUAACACCUGCCUGCACCCCAUUAAAAUGGUAUGGGGCCAGUGUCAAUGCCAAGUUUAGAAACGGAACACAAAAAUAAAUUGACAUCUCAGGCUGGCCGUAAAUCAAUGGAGACAACUCAGACAUCCAAACCAUGUUGAAGUGACGAAAUGAGCUGCAGAGUGAGUCAUAAAACACUGAAAUCUAGAGGAGAUGGAUCACAUUUGAUGGUUGUCUUUUAUGAUCCCACAAUUGAGAUACAGGAGGACAGUGUAGAUAUAUUUGAGAAGGAAACGGUGGAUCACAAAUGAUGGAUGGAAUUCCUAGUCAUUUGAGAUAGGAGCUUAUGUUUGAUAAGCAUUACCCCAAAAACUGAUGGCAACUUAUAAAUAAACAGCAAAUAUGGAAGACAUCAAAUUGGCGUAUAUAAGCACUUCAGCUUCGAUGCCUGGCCAUUGUUCGGGGAUCUUGAGAAGAACAGAGGAAUCAUUUGUCUUCUAAUUAUGAUUUCAAUGGCUUGGCAGAAUCAAAGAAGGCGUAAUUCGCUCUCACCACAGCCAGGACUCGUUCGGGGCCGCCUCUAAGGCGGCAAAUCGAAUCAAAGAAAUAGCAAACAAACAAAUAAGAAAGGAAAAGGAGUCUCCUCUAUGGUAUUGUUGACAGGCCGCCGAAAUGAAGGAGACCGCAAAAUACACUCAGACAAAGGAUGCGGAGCAGGGGCGACUUCAUUUGCACAAAAGGAGCGGAAAAAGCGAUCAAAGAGCUAACACAAAGCGGAGCACCGAACUCGAAAACAUAAAGCACAGCCCAUCAUCACAUGUCCGACGCGAGGUAAACCCAUCUGAAAAACCCCUAAGCAGGCCAAAAUCCAAACCAUAUCCAUGCGGCCAGCUUAGGACUCCUUUUUUAUUUUUUUGGCCUCAUCUGCUUUGUUUGCCACCACAUUGCGUUGUCGUCUUUAAGCUCUUUAAGCGAUAUUAAAACAUUUCACGGCGCAGCAGGAGGUGGCUUGGAAAUUUCAAAGCUCUCAAGGUUUCACAAAAAUAAUAUCAACAUAACCUUUGAACCAGAACUGCAUAUG
Long non-coding RNA from Drosophila sechellia, 1183 nucleotides. RefSeq lists it as uncharacterized. Lineage: Eukaryota; Metazoa; Arthropoda; Insecta; Diptera; Drosophilidae. The record is from RefSeq and is a predicted model, not a curated record. The transcript has 4 exons.